GAUGAACGCUGGCGGCGUGCCUAAUACAUGCAAGUCGAGCGAACAGACGAGGAGCUUGCUCCUCUGACGUUAGCGGCGGACGGGUGAGUAACACGUGGAUAACCUACCUAUAAGACUGGGAUAACUUCGGGAAACCGGAGCUAAUACCGGAUAACAUGUUGAACCGCAUGGUUCAACAGUGAAAGACGGUCUUGCUGUCACUUAUAGAUGGAUCCGCGCCGCAUUAGCUAGUUGGUAAGGUAACGGCUUACCAAGGCAACGAUGCGUAGCCGACCUGAGAGGGUGAUCGGCCACACUGGAACUGAGACACGGUCCAGACUCCUACGGGAGGCAGCAGUAGGGAAUCUUCAGCAAUGGGCGAAAGCCUGACGGAGCAACGCCGCGUGAGUGAAGAAGGUCUUCGGAUCGUAAAACUCUGUUAUUAGGGAAGAACAAAUGUGUAAGUAACUAUGCACGUCUUGACGGUACCUAAUCAGAAAGCCACGGCUAACUACGUG
RNAcentral lists this ribosomal RNA (497 nucleotides) under uncultured bacterium. RNAcentral describes it as "partial 16S ribosomal RNA". It matches the Rfam family "Bacterial small subunit ribosomal RNA", at positions 28 to 507 of the family's 1533-position model. The record is from RNAcentral.